UCCCAGCGCGGUAAGAACCCGGGGCCCUGACGUUCUGUUCUCUCCUAAGUGGCAGUUGGACUCUCCCCAUGACCCCGCAAGUGUACGUGCUGACCUGUCUCCACGCACAGGGAGUGUUCCAGACUGUGCUCACCUGGGUCUCCAUCAGCUCUUCCCCGCUGCAGCCAGGCUCUGAACACCUGGGAGAUCACCUGAGGGCUGGGAGGGUAGCACCGUGCCUGUGCCUACAUUUGUGGCAGCGUGUGGGACAGCACAGUUACGGAGAGUAGGUGGAGGCCCUGGAGAGUCUGAGCAGGAGGACACGGCAUGACAUAUGCUGGGAAGGGCGCCCUACGCGGCCACGCGGGGAGCUGCAGGGGUGUGCACAGAAGCGGGAGCUCACGGACCUUGUGCAGGAAGGAUUCAAAACAAGGCAUCAAGGCAUGAGAGAACUCCAAGGAGUCCACCACAGGGGGCAUGAACGUCCGCUAGGCAAGGAGGGGACACUGUGGGUCCCCUGACCCUGUACUGCAGGCCCGACUGGUCCAGCAUCCUGAGAAGACUCAUUAACCACGGACCCAGUUUCCUGCAGUAGCCCCAGGACCGGUGGUAUUCACACUGCACUUGACUAAGGGCAGUCAGGAAUAGACAUCAGAGGGCAGGUGCUGAAUCGCUUCGUUACUGAGCCACCAACGUGCCCACCUCCUGGGAAGUUUGUGGCUGCCACUGCAAGGGCGGUGGGGCUGGAGUCCCAAGCUGCUGUCUACACUGCAGGCACCUAAGUGUGGAUGGGGAGGGCAGAGAGGGCAGAGCCUGCUGAUUAUUAAGAAGGCAGGGCACCUUUUCUUGCAUUCAGUUGCAUUCUGUCAUCUUCCACGAAUGCCUGCUACCUAUGCCUGCAGACUUUUCCGGCAGGUUCUCCCUGUGCAUGGGGUUGGGUGUGGGGGCUCUGCAGACAGCGCACGUCCCUCACCCUGUCUGGAAAAAUGCCAAGCAAGUGUCACUGCUGAUCUGUUCGUUGCCUUUUCACUUCUCUGUGCUGUUUCCACGCUUGGUGUGCAGUCCAUCCGGAGGCUCUGAAACUCGCUUUCUCUCCCGCGUGUCUGCUCUGCUCCCUCCAGCAACCAGUGGAGAUUUCUCUACUAAACUGAGCUCGGGACAAAGCUUUGUAAAACCAGAGACUCGGCAGGAGAAAGAAAGUCUAAAUAAAAUAA
Molecule: long non-coding RNA, 1193 nt
Organism: Prionailurus viverrinus (fishing cat)
Lineage: Eukaryota; Metazoa; Chordata; Mammalia; Carnivora; Felidae
Exons: 3
Source: RefSeq, a predicted model, not a curated record